UAGGGAAUCUUCGGCAAUGGACGAAAGUCUGACCGAGCAACGCCGCGUGAGUGAAGAAGGUUUUCGGAUCGUAAAACUCUGUUGUUAGAGAAGAACAAGGACGUUAGUAACUGAACGUCCUCUGACGGUAUCUAACCAGAAAUCCACGGCUAACUACGUGCCAGCAGCCGCGGUAAUACGUAGGUGGCAAGCGUUGUCCGGAUUUAUUGGGCGUAAAGCGAGCGCAGGCGGUUUCUUAAGUCUGAUGUGAAAGCCCCCGGCUCAACCGGAGAGGGUCAUUGGAAACUGGGAGACUUGAGUGCAGAAGAGGAUAGUGGAAUUCCAUGUGUAGCGGUGAAAUGCGUAGAUAUAUGGAGGAACACCAGUGGCGAAGGCGGCUCUCUGGUCUGUAACUGACGCUGAGGCUCGAAAGCGUGGGGAGCAAACAGG
This 429-nucleotide ribosomal RNA is filed under the name Gemmatimonadota bacterium. RNAcentral's name for it is "Gemmatimonadetes bacterium partial 16S ribosomal RNA". It matches the Rfam family "Bacterial small subunit ribosomal RNA", at positions 355 to 776 of the family's 1533-position model. The record is from RNAcentral. Lineage: Bacteria; Pseudomonadati; Gemmatimonadota.